CUACAGGUUGCAGCAGUGGGGAAUAUUGCACAAUGGAGGAAACUCUGAUGCAGCCAUGCCGCGUGUGUGAAGAAGGCCCGAGGGUUGUAAAGCACUUUCAAUUGGGAGGAAGGUUAGUAAGUUAAUACCUUGCUAGCUUGACGUUACCUUUAGAAGAAGCACCGGCUAACUCUGUGCCAGCAGCCGCGGUAAUACAGAGGGUGCAAGCGUUAUUCGGAAUUACUGGGCGUAAAGCGCGCGUAGGCGGACUGUUAAGUCGGUUGUGAAAGCCCUGGGCUCAACCUAGGAACUGCAUCCGAUACUGGCAAUCUAGAGUUUAAGAGAGGGAAGUGGAAUUCCAGGUGUAGCAGUGAAAUGCGUAGAUAUCUGGAGGAACAUCAGUGGCGAAGGCGACUUCCUGGCUUAAAACUGACGCUGAGGUGCGAAAGCGUGGGUAGCGAACGGGAUUAGAUACCCGGGUAGUC
This 464-nucleotide ribosomal RNA is filed under the name uncultured bacterium. RNAcentral's name for it is "partial 16S ribosomal RNA". It matches the Rfam family "Bacterial small subunit ribosomal RNA", at positions 339 to 795 of the family's 1533-position model. The record is from RNAcentral.